Molecule: ribosomal RNA, 946 nt
Filed under: uncultured Actinomycetales bacterium
Lineage: Bacteria; Bacillati; Actinomycetota; Actinomycetes; Actinomycetales
Description: bacterial SSU rRNA
Rfam family: Bacterial small subunit ribosomal RNA
Source: RNAcentral
AAACACCUUCGGGUGUGAAUUAGCGGCGAACGGGUGAGGAACACGUGAAGAAUCUGCCUUCAACUCUGGGAUAACUCCGGGAAACCGGGGCUAAUACCGGAUAUGAGCCUUGAUCGCAUGAUCGGGGCUGGAAAGUUUUUCGGUUGAAGAUGACUUCGCGGCCUAUCAGCUUGUCGGUGAGGUAAUGGCUCACCAAGGCGACGACGGGUAGCCGGCCUGAGAGGGCGACCGGCCACACUGGGACUGAGACACGGCCCAGACUCCUACGGGAGGCAGCAGUGGGGAAUAUUGGGCAAUGGAGGAAACUCUGACCCAGCGACGCCGCGUGAGGGAUGAAGGCCUUCGGGUUGUAAACCUCUUUCAGUAGGGAAGAAGCGAAAGUGACGGUACCUACAGAAGAAGCACCGGCUAACUAUGUGCCAGCAGCCGCGGUAAUACAUAGGGUGCAAGCGUUGUCCGGAAUUAUUGGGCGUAAAGAGCUCGUAGGUGGUUCGAUACGUCGGAUGUGAAAAUCAGGGGCUCAACCCCUGACCUGCAUCCGAUACGGUCGAGCUAGAGUUUGGUAGGGGAGACUGGAAUUCCUGGUGUAGCGGUGGAAUGCGCAGAUAUCAGGAGGAACACCGAUGGCGAAGGCAGGUCUCUGGGCCAAUACUGACACUGAGGAGCGAAAGCGUGGGGAGCGAACAGGAUUAGAUACCCUGGUAGUCCACGCCGUAAACGGUGGGCGCUAGUUGUGCGAACCUUCCACGGUUUGUGCGACGCAGCUAACGCAUUAAGCGCCCCGCCUGGGGAGUACGAUCGCAAGAUUAAAACUCGAAGGAAUUGACGGGGCCUCGCACAAGCAGCGGAGCAUGCGGCUUAAUUCGACGCAACGCGAAGAACCUUACCAAGGCUUGACAUAUACAGGAAUAUGGCAGAGAUGUCAUAGCCGCAAGGUCUGUAUACA